Molecule: long non-coding RNA, 651 nt
Organism: Nematostella vectensis (starlet sea anemone)
Lineage: Eukaryota; Metazoa; Cnidaria; Anthozoa; Actiniaria; Edwardsiidae
Exons: 2
Source: RefSeq, a predicted model, not a curated record
AACUCUACAGACAAACUAGGUAGAUUUCACUCAUCCCUAGUUGUCAGGGGUGUCAGGAACUCUACAGACAAACUAGGUAGAUUUCACUCAUCCCUAGUUGUCAGGGAUGUCAGGACCUCUACAGACAAACUAGGUAGAUUUCACUCAUCCCUAGUUGUCAGGGGUGUCAGGACUUCUACAGACAAACUAGGUAGAUUUUACUCAUCCCUGUUGUCAGGAGUGUCAGGGAUGUCAGGACCUCUACAGACAAACUAGGUAGAUUUUACUCAUCCCUAGUUGUCAGGGAUGUCAGGACCUCUACAGACAAACUAGGGAGAUUUUACUCAUCCCUAGUUGUCAGGGAUGUCAGGACCUCUACAGACAAACUAGGUAGAUUUCACUCAUCCCUAGUUGUCAGGGGUGUCAGGACCUCUACAGACAAACUAGGUAGAUUUUACUCAUCCCUAGUUGUCAGGGGUGUCAGGACCUCUACAGACAAACUAGGUAGAUUUUACUCAUCCCUAGUUGUCAGGAGUGUCAGGGAUGUCAGGAACCCUACAGACAAACUAGGUAGAUUUUACUCAUCCCUAGUUGUCAGGGGUGUCAGCAUCUCUAAAAAAAGACUAAUAGAUUUCAUUCAGCAUUAUUUGUGAUAUAAAAAAAAACUUAAGC